RNAcentral lists this ribosomal RNA (296 nucleotides) under uncultured bacterium. RNAcentral describes it as "partial 16S ribosomal RNA". It matches the Rfam family "Bacterial small subunit ribosomal RNA", at positions 28 to 334 of the family's 1533-position model. The record is from RNAcentral.
GAUGAACGCUGACAGAAUGCUUAACACAUGCAAGUCUACCUGAUCCUUCGGGUGAAGGUGGCGGACGGGUGAGUAACGCGUAAAGAACUUGCCUUACAGACUGGGACAACAUUUGGAACGAAUGCUAAUACCGGAUAUUAUGACUGAGUCGCAUGAUUUGGUUAUGAAAGCUAUAUGCGCUGUGAGAGAGCUUUGCGUCCCAUUAGUUAGUUGGUGAGGUAACGGCUCACCAAGACGAUGAUGGGUAGCCGGCCUGAGAGGGUGAACGGCCACAAGGGGACUGAGACACGGCCCUU